Molecule: transfer RNA, 69 nt
Filed under: Rattus norvegicus (Norway rat)
Lineage: Eukaryota; Metazoa; Chordata; Mammalia; Rodentia; Muridae
Rfam family: tRNA
About the family: Transfer RNA (tRNA) molecules are approximately 80 nucleotides in length. Their secondary structure includes four short double-helical elements and three loops (D, anti-codon, and T loops). Further hydrogen bonds mediate the characteristic L-shaped molecular structure. tRNAs have two regions of fundamental functional importance: the anti-codon, which is responsible for specific mRNA codon recognition, and the 3' end, to which the tRNAs corresponding amino acid is attached (by aminoacyl-tRNA synthetases). tRNAs cope with the degeneracy of the genetic code in two manners: having more than one tRNA (with a specific anti-codon) for a particular amino acid; and 'wobble' base-pairing, i.e. permitting non-standard base-pairing at the 3rd anti-codon position.
Source: Rfam by way of RNAcentral
GGGGAUUUAGCUCAGCGGUAGAGCGCUUGCCUAGCAAGCGCAAGGCCCUGGGUUCAACCCCCAGCUCCG